RNAcentral lists this ribosomal RNA (275 nucleotides) under uncultured bacterium. RNAcentral describes it as "partial 16S ribosomal RNA". It matches the Rfam family "Bacterial small subunit ribosomal RNA", at positions 79 to 353 of the family's 1533-position model. The record is from RNAcentral.
CUUUCUUUGCUGGCGACCGGCGCACGGGUGAGUAACACGUAUCCAACCUACCCUUUACUCGGGGAUAGCCUUUCGAAAGAAAGAUUAAUACCAGAUAGCAUAAUGAUUCCGCAUGGUUUCAUUAUUAAAGGAUUCCGGUAAAGGAUGGGGAUGCGUUCCAUUAGGUUGUUGGUGGGGUAACGGCCCACCAAGCCUUCGAUGGAUAGGGGUUCUGAGAGGAAGGUCCCCCACAUUGGAACUGAGACACGGUCCAAACUCCUACGGGAGGCAGCAUG